This 233-nucleotide unclassified non-coding RNA is filed under the name Hevea brasiliensis (rubber tree). Lineage: Eukaryota; Viridiplantae; Streptophyta; Magnoliopsida; Malpighiales; Euphorbiaceae. The record is from RNAcentral.
GGGGAAUCCUUGGUUGUGGGAAUCACAUUUCCUCAUUUAUAAGAAUGGAAAAAUUAAAAAAAAUAGUAUCAAGAAACACACAUAAAGGGAAUUUCAUUUUCAUUUUCAUUCCCAUUCUUGAAUGAGUUUUUAGCUAACCAAACGAGAUCUUAAUUUUUGAUGCACGAUGGACCAUUUGUUGAGCUCUUGUCUCUGAUAUUAUAUUAUGUUAUUCUGUCGAUGUGCAUCAACCC